CCUACGUGAGGCAGCAGUGGGGAAUAUUGCGCAAUGGGCGAUAGCCUGACGCAGCGACGCCGCGUGAGGGAUGAAGGUCUUCGGAUCGUAAACCUCUGUCAGCAGGGAAGAACGGUCACUGUGCUAAUCAGCAGUGAAUUGACGGUACCUGCAAAGGAAGCACCGGCUAACUCCGUGCCAGCAGCCGCGGUAAUACGGAGGGUGCGAGCGUUAAUCGGAAUUACUGGGCGUAAGGCGCUCGUAGGCGGUAUGUCAAGUCAAGGGUGAAAUCCCCGCGCUCAACGUGGGAACUGCCUUUGAAACUGGCAAACUGGAGUGUGUGAGGGGAUAGUGGAAUUCCAGGUGUAGGAGUGAAAUCCGGAGAUAUCUGGAGGAACAUCAGUGGCGAAGGCGACUAUCUGGCACAUAACUGACGCUGAGGAGCGAAAGCGUGGGUAGCAAACAGGAUUAGAUACCCGUGUAGUC
This 465-nucleotide ribosomal RNA is filed under the name uncultured bacterium. RNAcentral's name for it is "partial 16S ribosomal RNA". It matches the Rfam family "Bacterial small subunit ribosomal RNA", at positions 338 to 795 of the family's 1533-position model. The record is from RNAcentral.